AGAGUUUGAUCCUGGCUCAGGACGAACGCUGGCGGCGUGCCUAAUACAUGCAAGUCGAGCGAGCUUGCCUAGAUGAUUUUAGUGCUUGCACUAAAUGAAACUAGAUACAAGCGAGCGGCGGACGGGUGAGUAACACGUGGGUAACCUGCCCAAGAGACUGGGAUAACACCUGGAAACAGAUGCUAAUACCGGAUAACAACACUAGACGCAUGUCUAGAGUUUGAAAGAUGGUUCUGCUAUCACUCUUGGAUGGACCUGCGGUGCAUUAGCUAGUUGGUAAGGUAACGGCUUACCAAGGCAAUGAUGCAUAGCCGAGUUGAGAGACUGAUCGGCCACAUUGGGACUGAGACACGGCCCAAACUCCUACGGGAGGCAGCAGUAGGGAAUCUUCCACAAUGGACGAAAGUCUGAUAGAGCAACGCCGCGUGAGUGAAGAAGGGUUUCGGCUCGUAAAGCUCUGUUGGUAGUGAAGAAAGAUAGAGGUAGUAACUGGCCUUUAUUUGACGGUAAUUACUUAGAAAGUCACGGCUAACUACGUGCCAGCAGCCGCGGUAAUACGUAGGUGGCAAGCGUUGUCCGGAUUUAUUGGGCGUAAAGCGAGUGCAGGCGGUUCAAUAAGUCUGAUGUGAAAGCCUUCGGCUCAACCGGAGAAUUGCAUCAGAAACUGUUGAACUUGAGUGCAGAAGAGGAGAGUGGAACUCCAUGUGUAGCGGUGGAAUGCGUAGAUAUAUGGAAGAACACCAGUGGCGAAGGCGGCUCUCUGGUCUGCAACUGACGCUGAGGCUCGAAAGCAUGGGUAGCGAACAGGAUUAGAUACCCUGGUAGUCCAUGCCGUAAACGAUGAGUGCUAAGUGUUGGGAGGUUUCCCCCCUCCCUGGGCUGCAGCUAACGCAUUAAGCACUCCGCCCUGGGAGAGCGCCC
RNAcentral lists this ribosomal RNA (921 nucleotides) under uncultured bacterium. Its description in RNAcentral is "bacterial SSU rRNA". It matches the Rfam family "Bacterial small subunit ribosomal RNA", at positions 9 to 873 of the family's 1533-position model. The record is from RNAcentral.